AUUGAACGCUGGCGGCAUGCCUUACACAUGCAAGUCGAACGGUAACAGGUCUUCGGAUGCUGACGAGUGGCGAACGGGUGAGUAAUACAUCGGAACGUGCCUAGUAGUGGGGGAUAACUACUCGAAAGAGUGGCUAAUACCGCAUGAACUCCAAGGAUGAAAGCAGGGGAUCGGAAGGCCGUGUGCUACUAGAGCUGACGACGGCAGAGCAGGUAGUUGGUGGGAUAAAAGCCUACCAAGCCGACGAUCUGUAGCUGGUCUGAGAGGACGAUCAGCCACACUGGGACUGAGGAACGGCCCAGACUCCUACGGGAGGCAGCAGUGGGGAAUUUUGGACAAUGGGCGCAAGCCUGAUCCAGCAAUGCCGCGUGCAGGAUGAAGGCCUUCGGGUUGUAAACUGCUUUUGUACGGAACGAAAAGCCCCGGGUUAAUACCCUGGGGUCAUGACGGUACCGUAAGAAUAAGCACCGGCUAACUACGUGCCAGCAGCCGCCGUAA
RNAcentral lists this ribosomal RNA (498 nucleotides) under uncultured bacterium. RNAcentral describes it as "partial 16S ribosomal RNA". It matches the Rfam family "Bacterial small subunit ribosomal RNA", at positions 30 to 523 of the family's 1533-position model. The record is from RNAcentral.